This 2889-nucleotide ribosomal RNA is filed under the name Vibrio parahaemolyticus TUMSAT_DE1_S1. RNAcentral's name for it is "bacterial LSU rRNA". It matches the Rfam family "Bacterial large subunit ribosomal RNA". Lineage: Bacteria; Pseudomonadati; Pseudomonadota; Gammaproteobacteria; Vibrionales; Vibrionaceae. The record is from RNAcentral.
UUAAGUGACUAAGCGUACACGGUGGAUGCCUUGGCAGUCAGAGGCGAUGAAAGACGUAGUAACUUGCGAUAAGCCCAGAUUAGGUAGUAACAACCAUUUGAGUCUGGGAUUUCUGAAUGGGGAAACCCACUUACAUAAGUAAGUAUCAUUAACUGAAUACAUAGGUUAAUGAGGCGAACCGGGGGAACUGAAACAUCUAAGUACCCCGAGGAAAAGAAAUCAACCGAGAUUCCGAAAGUAGCGGCGAGCGAAAUUGGACUAGCCCUUAAGCUUUACACGCGUUAGACGAACGGUCUGGAAAGUCCGACGAUACAGGGUGAUAGUCCCGUAGUUGACGACGUGUGUUCAGUGAAAUCGAGUAGGGCGGGACACGUGAUAUCCUGUCUGAAUAUGGGGGGACCAUCCUCCAAGGCUAAAUACUACUGACUGACCGAUAGUGAACCAGUACCGUGAGGGAAAGGCGAAAAGAACCCCUGUGAGGGGAGUGAAAUAGAACCUGAAACCGUGUACGUACAAGCAGUAGGAGCAGGCUUUGUCCUGUGACUGCGUACCUUUUGUAUAAUGGGUCAGCGACUUAUAUUCAGUGGCAAGGUUAACCAUCUAGGGGAGCCGUAGGGAAACCGAGUCUUAACUGGGCGUUCAGUCUCUGGAUAUAGACCCGAAACCAGGUGAUCUAGCCAUGGGCAGGUUGAAGGUUGAGUAACAUCAACUGGAGGACCGAACCGACUAAUGUUGAAAAAUUAGCGGAUGACUUGUGGCUAGGGGUGAAAGGCCAAUCAAACCUGGAGAUAGCUGGUUCUCCCCGAAAGCUAUUUAGGUAGCGCCUCGGACGAAUACUACUGGGGGUAGAGCACUGUUAAGGCUAGGGGGUCAUCCCGACUUACCAACCCUUUGCAAACUCCGAAUACCAGUAAGUACUAUCCGGGAGACACACGGCGGGUGCUAACGUCCGUCGUGGAGAGGGAAACAACCCAGACCGCCAGCUAAGGUCCCAAAUUACUACUAAGUGGGAAACGAUGUGGGAAGGCUCAGACAGCCAGGAUGUUGGCUUAGAAGCAGCCAUCAUUUAAAGAAAGCGUAAUAGCUCACUGGUCGAGUCGGCCUGCGCGGAAGAUGUAACGGGGCUAAGUAGUAAACCGAAGCUGCGGCAAUAUACUUUUGUAUAUUGGGUAGGGGAGCGUUCUGUAAGCGGUUGAAGGUGUGUGGUAACGCAUGCUGGACGUAUCAGAAGUGCGAAUGCUGACAUGAGUAACGAUAAAGGGGGUGAAAAACCUCCUCGCCGGAAGACCAAGGGUUCCUGUCCAACGUUAAUCGGGGCAGGGUAAGUCGACCCCUAAGGCGAGGCCGAAAGGCGUAGUCGAUGGGAAACGGGUUAAUAUUCCCGUACUUCUUACAAUUGCGAUGGGGGGACGGAGAAGGCUAGGUGGGCCUGGCGACGGUUGUCCAGGUUCAAGUGCGUAGGCUUAAGAGUUAGGUAAAUCCGGCUCUUUCUAAGGCUGAGACACGACGUCGAGCACCUACGGGUGUGAAGUCAUUGAUGCCAUGCUUCCAGGAAAAGCCUCUAAGCUUCAGAUUGUAAGGAAUCGUACCCCAAACCGACACAGGUGGUCGGGUAGAGAAUACCAAGGCGCUUGAGAGAACUCGGGUGAAGGAACUAGGCAAAAUGGUACCGUAACUUCGGGAGAAGGUACGCUCUUGAUGGUGAAGUCCCUCGCGGAUGGAGCUGACGAGAGUCGCAGAUACCAGGUGGCUGCAACUGUUUAUUAAAAACACAGCACUGUGCAAAAUCGUAAGAUGACGUAUACGGUGUGACGCCUGCCCGGUGCCGGAAGGUUAAUUGAUGGGGUUAGACUUCGGUCGAAGCUCUUGAUCGAAGCCCCGGUAAACGGCGGCCGUAACUAUAACGGUCCUAAGGUAGCGAAAUUCCUUGUCGGGUAAGUUCCGACCUGCACGAAUGGCGUAAUGAUGGCCACGCUGUCUCCACCCGAGACUCAGUGAAAUUGAAAUCGCUGUGAAGAUGCAGUGUACCCGCGGCUAGACGGAAAGACCCCGUGAACCUUUACUACAGCUUGGCACUGAACAUUGACCCUACAUGUGUAGGAUAGGUGGGAGGCUUUGAAGCACGUACGCCAGUAUGUGUGGAGCCGUCCUUGAAAUACCACCCUUGUAGUGUUGAUGUUCUAACGUCGACCCCUAAUCGGGGUUGCGGACAGUGCCUGGUGGGUAGUUUGACUGGGGCGGUCUCCUCCCAAAGAGUAACGGAGGAGCACGAAGGUGGGCUAAUCACGGUUGGACAUCGUGAGGUUAGUGCAAUGGCAUAAGCCCGCUUGACUGCGAGAAUGACAAUUCGAGCAGGUGCGAAAGCAGGUCAUAGUGAUCCGGUGGUUCUGAAUGGAAGGGCCAUCGCUCAACGGAUAAAAGGUACUCCGGGGAUAACAGGCUGAUACCGCCCAAGAGUUCAUAUCGACGGCGGUGUUUGGCACCUCGAUGUCGGCUCAUCACAUCCUGGGGCUGAAGUCGGUCCCAAGGGUAUGGCUGUUCGCCAUUUAAAGUGGUACGCGAGCUGGGUUUAGAACGUCGUGAGACAGUUCGGUCCCUAUCUGCCGUGGGCGUUGGAAGAUUGAAGGGGGCUGCUCCUAGUACGAGAGGACCGGAGUGGACGAACCUCUGGUGUUCGGGUUGUGUCGCCAGACGCAUUGCCCGGUAGCUAAGUUCGGAAUCGAUAACCGCUGAAAGCAUCUAAGCGGGAAGCGAGCCCUGAGAUGAGUCUUCCCUGAUACUUUAAGUAUCCUAAAGGGUUGUCGGAGACUACGACGUUGAUAGGUCAGGUGUGUAAGUGCUGUGAGGCAUUGAGCUAACUGAUACUAAUUGCCCGUGAGGCUUAACCAU